This 1640-nucleotide ribosomal RNA is filed under the name human gut metagenome. Its description in RNAcentral is "bacterial LSU rRNA". It matches the Rfam family "Bacterial large subunit ribosomal RNA", at positions 774 to 2495 of the family's 2925-position model. The record is from RNAcentral.
CCGAACCCACUCCCGUUGAAAUGGUAGGGGAUGAGGUGUGGAUAGCGGAGAAAUUCCAAUCGAACCCGGAUAUAGCUGGUUCUCCCCGAAAUAGUUUUAGGACUAGCCUCGUGAUCAAGAUUAUCGGAGGUAAAGCACUGAAUGGCCUAGGGGUCGAGAGAUUACCGAAGCCUAUCAAACUCUGAAUGCCGAAUAAUCAUGCACGGGAGUCAGACUGUGUGAGAUAAGUUUCAUAGUCGAAAGGGAAACAGCCCAGACCUACAGCUAAGGUCCCAAAGUACGUUUAAGUGGAAAACGAUGUGAAAUUGCGUAGACAACCAGGAUGUUGGCUUAGAAGCAGCCAUACAUUAAAAGAGUGCGUAAUAGCUCACUGGUCGAGUGACUUUGCGCGGAAAAUUUAACGGGGCUAAAACGUACACCGAAGCUUAGGCUUGUCACAAUGUGACAGGGGUAGGGGAGCGUUGAAUGAGGGGUGAAGUCGUAGCGAAAGCGACGGUGGACUUCAUUCAAGUGAGAAUGCCGGAAUGAGUAGCGAGAAUUAUGUGAGAAUCAUAAUGGCCGAAAGCCUAAGGUUUUUGGAGGAAGGUUCGUCCGCUCCAAGUAAGUCGGAAGCUAAGGUGAGGCUGAAAAGCGUAGCCGAUGCACAAACGGUUGAAAUUCCGUUACCACAGAAAGAUUUAAACUAAGGGACACUUUUGAAGAGCUGAUGCCGGGUGUUGGUUACCCCGGUCGUAAGGGAACGAAAUCAAGUAGUGAAGUCAGCGUGGAUGAAGGCGAGAAAAGCUUAGUGUAUAUCUUAUGUGUCCGUACCGCAAACCGACACAGGUAGGUAGGAAGAGAAUUCUAAGGCCAACGGGAGAAGGGUAGUUAAGGAACUCGGCAAAAUGUCCCCGUAACUUCGGAAUAAGGGGAGGUUUCUACGGAAACCCGCAGAGAAUAGUCCCAGGCAACUGUUUAUCAAAAACACAGCUCUAUGCUAAAUCGAAAGAUGACGUAUAUGGGGUGACGCCUGCCCGGUGCCGGAAGGUUAAGAGGAGGAGUGAGAGCCCUGAAUCGAAGCCCCGGUAAACGGCGGCCGUAACUAUAACGGUCCUAAGGUAGCGAAAUUCCUUGUCAGGUAAGUUCUGACCCGCACGAAUGGCGUAAUGAUCUGGGAGCUGUCUCAACUGCCCGCCCGGCGAAAUUGUAGUACCGGUGAAGAUGCCGGUUACCCGCGACUAGACGGAAAGACCCCAUGGAGCUUUACUGUAGCUUAAUAUUGGAUUUCGGCAUUUCAUGUACAGGAUAGGUGGGAGACUAGGAAACAUAGGCGUCAGCUUAUGCGGAGUCGUCCUUGGGAUACCACUCUUGGAGUGCUGAAAUUCUAACCUGCAGCCCUGAAUCGGGUUGGGGGACAUUGUUAGGUGGGCAGUUUGACUGGGGCGGUCGCCUCCAAAAAGGUAACGGAGGCGCUCAAAGGUUGGCUCAGCAUGGAUGGAAACCAUGCCAUAGAGUGCAAACGCAAAAGCCAGCCUGACUGCGAGACUGACGGGUCGAGCAGAAACGAAAGUUGGAGUUAGUGAUCCGGCGGUAUGUGAAUGGAAAUGCCGUCGCUCAACGGAUAAAAGCUACCCUGGGGAUAACAGGCUGAUCUCCCCCAA